This 388-nucleotide unclassified non-coding RNA is filed under the name uncultured Ascomycota. RNAcentral's name for it is "sequence contains ITS2". The record is from RNAcentral. Lineage: Eukaryota; Fungi; Ascomycota.
AACUUUUGACAAUGGAUCAAGGUCGCUCAUCCGGCGGCCAGGUGGUCCUGAUAACAAAGAGCGGAACCAACCAGCUUCACGGUUCGUUGUAUGAGUACAACCGCAACACGGCCACCUCCGCGAACACAUGGUUCAACAAUCAAGCAGGGGUGCCCGUGCAACAAUUGGUCCGGAAUCAGUUUGGCGCUUCGAUCGGCGGACCCAUCAAGAAGGAUCGCCUCUUCUACUUCGCGAACUGGGAACAGCGCAAGGAUGCCAGCAGCGUGGCCCAGGUGCAGGCCGUACCUGCGGAGUCUCUCAAACAGGGUCUCCUGAACGUUCAAUUGGCGGAUGGAACCGUUGACACUAUCGGCCCAUCGCAACUUAAGCAUAUCAAUAAGCGGAGGCU